RNAcentral lists this ribosomal RNA (250 nucleotides) under uncultured bacterium. Its description in RNAcentral is "partial 16S ribosomal RNA". It matches the Rfam family "Bacterial small subunit ribosomal RNA", at positions 82 to 334 of the family's 1533-position model. The record is from RNAcentral.
CCAAAGCUGGCGACCGGCGCACGGUGAGUAACACGUAUCCAACCUGCCGAUAACUCGGGGAUAGCCUUUCGAAAGAAAGAUUAAUACCCGAUGGCAUAAUUAGACCGCAUGGUCUUAUUAUUAAAGAAUUUCGGUUAUCGAUGGGGAUGCGUUCCAUUAGGCAGUUGGUGAGGUAACGGCUCACCAAACCUUCGAUGGAUAGGGGUUCUGAGAGGAAGGUCCCCCACAUUGGAACUGAGACACGGUCCAA